AUUCAGUUUUUUAAGCACUGACGUGAUCACUUCAGAUAAAAUCUUUGCACUGUGUAUGAGUGUAGUAUUAUAGGAUGCCUUUAGAGUGGUUUAGAGAAUUAUGUCACUCUGGAUUUCUUUGCACCUUUCUAUCAGAAUGGAUUGCGUUUGAGAUUAUUAUUAUAGUGUGUGAAAUUUUUAUGUAUUUUUUUCUUUUGUAUAUUUAUUUUGAAUUUCUGUUGCUAAGAUGGACAGAAGAUUUAAUAAACACCUACACUUACAAGUUUCUAGAACUAAUAAUGAAUGAGACUAAAUUGCCUUUAAAGAUGGGUUCGCUUUAUAGGAACACCUUUGCUAUAAAGACGCCAGUAUGUAUAAAUAAUUCAGAAUUCGGUUCAUGACAGAAUGUUUUAAUGACAGUACUUCCAGAAAAUGUGACAUUGUGCAUCAAAUUUGAGAACCAUGAGCUUCACACGCAUUAUUAUAAUCAUUCCUACUGAUCACGGAGACCCACAGGACAGAUUAAAUUACAGAUUCACAGAGCUCUUCAUAUUCGGUUCUCAGAAGUGCUCUUAAAAUAAAAUAAAUAAAAAAAAGAAAGAAAGAAAAAUACAGUCCUUGUAACAUGAUAAUAAUUGAGAUGAAAACAUUUCACUCACUUUAUCUCCAUAAAUGCUAUAGACUGUAGAGUAAAAAAAACACACAAAUGAACUUCAAAUCUAUAGUUGAGAUUUAGGAAUGUACACUCUUUGUGCAAAAAAUAAAGUUAUUAAAGAAAAGUAUGAGUAUGCUUAACAUGCAGAAAAAAAACAGCCUUCUAUUUUAAUAAGGCUUUAAAAAUGUAAACAGUGAAUUUGGCUUUUUUUUUCUGGAAAUGUAACAGAGGUAAUGUAUUUUAAAGUUCCUUGCUACAUUUUGAGCAUCCUAAUUGACAGCUGAGCUGCAAUAUCCAGAUGGUUUUAACACUGUACGAAAGUAAAGUUCAUGUGCACUGAUUUAUCUGCAGUUAUGCUUUUUUUAA
Carassius carassius (crucian carp) is the source of this 1000-nucleotide long non-coding RNA. RefSeq lists it as uncharacterized. The record is from RefSeq and is a predicted model, not a curated record. NCBI's taxonomy places the organism in Eukaryota, Metazoa, Chordata, Actinopteri, Cypriniformes, Cyprinidae. The transcript is spliced from 2 exons.